AAGUCGUAACAAGGUUUCCGUAGGUGAACCUGCGGAAGGAUCAUUACAGUGGGGGGCUCUGCCCCGCAGCAAGACACCCUUGAUUUUCGAGUACCUCUGUUUCCUCGGCGGGUCCGCCCGCCACGGGGACACUCCAAAACCUUUUUGUAAUAGCAGUCUCUUCUGAUAAACAAGCAAAAGUCAAAACUUUCAACAACGGAUCUCUUGGUUCUG
Molecule: unclassified non-coding RNA, 213 nt
Filed under: air metagenome
Description: partial contains small subunit ribosomal RNA, internal transcribed spacer 1, and 5.8S ribosomal RNA
Rfam family: Eukaryotic small subunit ribosomal RNA (bases 1-46)
Source: RNAcentral